Molecule: ribosomal RNA, 472 nt
Filed under: uncultured bacterium
Lineage: Bacteria
Description: SSU rRNA
Rfam family: Bacterial small subunit ribosomal RNA
Source: RNAcentral
AGGACGAACGCUGGCGGCGCGCCUAACACAUGCAAGUCGAGCGAGAACCAGGGCUUGCCCUGGGGAAAGCGGCGAACGGGUGCGUAACACGUGAGCAACCUGCCCCAAAGACCGGGACAACCCGAGGAAACUCGGACUAAUACCGGAUGCCCUCACCGGGCCGCAUGGUCUGGUGAGGAAAUGGAUUCCGCUUUGGGAUGGGCUCGCGGUCUAUCAGCUUGUUGGUGGGGUAACGGCCUACCAAGGCGACGACGGAUAGCUGGUCUGAGAGGACGAUCAGCCACACUGGGACUGAGACACGGCCCAGACUCCUACGGGAGGCAGCAGUGGGGAAUCUUGCGCAAUGGGGGAAACCCUGACGCAGCGACGCCGCGUGCGGGAUGAAGGCCUUCGGGUUGUAAACCGCUUUCAGCAGGACGAAAUUGACGGUACCUGCAGAAGAAGGCCCGGCCAACUACGCGCCAGCAGCCGC